UACGAAGGGGGCAAGCGUUGUUCGGAAUUACUGGGCGUAAAGGGAGUGUAGGCGGUUAUGUAAGAUAGUGGUGAAAUCCCAGAGCUUAACUUUGGAAUUGCCAUUAUGACUAUGUGGCUAGAAUUACAGAGAGGAUAGUGGAAUACCCAGUGUAGAGGUGAAAUUCGUAGAUAUUGGGUAGAACACCAGUGGCGAAGGCGACUAUCUGGCUGUAUAUUGACGCUGAGGCUCGAAAGCAUGGGGAUCAAACAGGAUUAGAAACCCGUGUAGUCC
This 273-nucleotide ribosomal RNA is filed under the name uncultured bacterium. RNAcentral describes it as "partial 16S ribosomal RNA". It matches the Rfam family "Bacterial small subunit ribosomal RNA", at positions 524 to 796 of the family's 1533-position model. The record is from RNAcentral.